AGGGCGGAGGGAGCGGGAGGUCUCGGGCUCGGGGCCGGCCGCCGCUGCGCUCCGAUCGCCGCGCGGCUCGGUGUCCGGGGGUGGGGGGGCGGGGGGGCGCAGCUAUGGAGGCCAACGGGGGCCCGGGCGGCUCGGGCGGCGCCAACGACUCGCAGCACGACCCCGGUAAAAUGUUUAUCGGCGGACUCAGCUGGCAGACCUCACCAGAUAGCCUUAGAGACUAUUUUAGCAAAUUUGGAGAAAUUAGAGAAUGUAUGGUCAUGAGAGAUCCCACUACGAAACGCUCCAGAGGCUUCGGUUUCGUCACGUUCGCAGACCCGGCGAGUGUAGAUAAAGUGUUAGGCCAGCCCCACCACGAGUUAGACUCCAAGACGAUUGACCCCAAAGUUGCAUUUCCUCGUCGAGCACAACCCAAGGACUCACCUUUUCAGAGAGGACUCCUCAAUGCGGUUGUCCAGCCCAGCUCAGAGGGUUGCCGGAGGGACCAGAACACACUCUCGUUUUCAAGGUUAGGGAGUAGCAGGCUUUCAGGGGGGUGAGGAUGGGUGGGGAGGGGAGCUCUUUGAGUUUAAGGAUGCCCCUUUCCUUCUGUCCUAGGAAGAAGGCCUUUGUUGUUGUUUUCUUUUGCUGUCUUCUUCCAACAGCUUGGAGUAAAUACAUUGACAGAGCGGCAGGAACCAAACAAAUGAACCAGUAAAGAAGUUUGCAGUAGACAGAUGAGGCUUUAUUUAGGAGGCUGGGUGGUGUUUCUUCGUUUUCACAUUGAACCGCUGUUCCUCAGUGCUUCUCCUGGUGCUUGCAAAUCAGGAAAAAAAAAAAACAAACCCCCACACACAAGUGGGAGGGGUGGCCUGGCACUUUCCUGGACCGGGGCCGGAAGGAGAGCACGCAGGGCUGUGUGCUGUGAGCAGCCUUCAAAUACAACCGUUUGGGGAAGAGCCCUACAGUACCUGGAAAAGCCGGCUGUGUUGUGAGCAGUUGUUUUGAGUUCUGCGGUAUAGAACUGCAUGUCUAAGAACAGUCACAGGGACAUCUCCCCGAAGAGGUAUUCCUGAGGAUUUCUGCGUAAACAGAACCCUGUUUUCCCAGCAAGCAUUAUUAUAUUUUUAGAAACAUUUUCUUUCUUGAUUGCCCGUCAGUUAGCAAGGCUGCUAGCACUUUCUGUUGGUUUGCCUUCCUGGACAGGUGCUUGGAAGGGUCAGCGGUUCUAGGUUAAAAAAGAUACCGAAGGAUACUUUCUGUCCGAGGAGGAGUCAAUCCCUGCAUGGACGCAGUGGGAGGGGACACCCAAUCUGUUCCCUCUCCCCACCUUGUGAUGAGGAAGGGGAAGUCCUGCUAUUCGAAUCAGCCGGGAGCUUUUUCCCUCCGGCUCCCUUACCCCCUUCCUUCUGCUCUUCUUUGUCUUUAUUUUCUCUCUUUGGACUGAUACUGAACUCCUUGUUCCAGCUGAUAGCGAACUCCUUGUCCUGUUGGGGAGAGUAAUUUCAUGGCGGCCAACAGAACCGGUGACUGUAGUUUUUUUUUUUUUUUUUUUUGGCAUUUAAGGAAACAACUUACAAAUAGUUCUUUCUUUAAAGACCGAGCACAGAUUUUAAGUGUUCAGAGGGGGAAAACUCUCAAGGUGACUUGUGGUGAUCCGCCCCCCCACCCCAAAGCUGUGUCCUCGCAUCUUCCUCGAGGGUCGCUAAUAAGAACUGCUGGCCUAAGUCAGCGUCUUUGAGAAUCAUUGAUUCACUAAUUGCUCAUAAUCACGUCCUGGCUUCCCCCUCCUGCUGGGAACACUUUUGUUUUUCCCUGUUCUGCAAGGAAUUGGACGGAUUUCUGGAGUGUUUAAGAGCCACCCCAUAAAAGCGUUUGGCGUGCCACGGUUGCUCGCCGCGCUUCUCAGAGGUGACGGUGCCUGGGUGUCCGGGCCCAUAAACCAGGGGCUGCCAGUGACCUUUCCCAAGGUCACACGUCUGAUGGAGAGUGGAUUCCUCAGCCCACUGUGGGCCUCAACUUAAUUUGUUCCUUUCCUAAGGCAAAAUGACCUCCCCGUAAACCUGCCCCCCUUCCGCAGAGUGAACAAGCAGAGUUAGGAAGGCGUGUUCUGGGGGUGGGCGGGCAGCGGGCCAUGUUGGGAAGAGACUCGGGGCUACUCAUUAAAACGCCGAGGUGGGGUGAAGCUCGCCAUGAAGUGAGGAGUCCUGCAGGGGAGAACGCAGCCCCAGAGCGGAGCCGAUAGAGGGGCCGGCCUGGAGAGACUGAGGAGGCUGCUGAAGCAACAUUUCCCUCGGCGUUGGGAAUUUAAAGAGGAAAAAAAGAGAAGGCAGCCCCUCCGCUCCAUAUGCACGGUCUCUGAUAGUGUUCUGCAAAUACAUGGUCUCCAAGCCUCUUCCUUCUGUCCCUUCUUGUCUCCCUCCCUUCCUUCAGGGCUCCUGAGCUUGAAGCCCUGUCCUCCCUGGAUGGUGGCUGGCCUGUCGUCUCUUCCGUAAACCCUCUGAGUCCAGCCGGGGGAGGACAUUUAAGGACGGGUUUCAGGGAGAGGACCAUGGGCGUGUCCGGUCCAGUCCUGACCCGGUUCCUCAGCCCCAGGCUCCUGGGGGUUGAUUCUCCCCUGACCGGGUUGGUCACAUGCCUCUGUUCUGUACUUGUUAAUUAGUGUUUGGGUGUCCAAACACGGGGGAGGGAGCUGGGGCUUCAGCUCCGGGGCCUUUCUGCUCUCCACUGAGGCCUUCAGGACCCCCUCCCUGCCUCGUUAAACCCCCGGAGCUACGUGCACAGCCAGCCCGGUCCUCAGCCCCCCUUUUGUGAGUUGGGUUGUGGGUGGAAUUGGUCCCCGUCAUCCUGCUCUGCAGAGUCGGUGCACCCAUGACCGUGCCCGGAGUGGGAAGAGGGAGAGGACGGUGCUGGGCCAGCUUUCAGGCGGGACAAGGUAGGCCAGACAGAGGUAUCAGACUGUCCCCUUCUAGAAACGGCAGUCAGGCUGGGUGUGGGAGAGCGGGCCCAGGGUGAGUGUGGGCUUCUUCCAGCUUCUGCCCGGGUCACGUUUGGCGGAAGAGAGCCGACGUGCUUUGGUAGAUAGAGCUUCUCUUAGAGACAAUUCUGGGAUUGAAUCCUGGCUGUGUGACGUGGCCGAGUUACGUGGCCUCUCUGAGCCUCGUGUGUGUCGUAUGUAAACUGAGAACAAGAGACUUGCCUGGCGUUGUGGGCAGUGACAUACGUUCCCCAGAGCACCUAGCGUGAUGCCUGGCAUUCAGUAGGUGCCUACUCAGUGCCGAUGGUCCGGCCAGGCUGGACCCAGCUGUUGUUGUUGGGAAAGACCAGAGCUUGUGCAUGGGUUAGACCUUGCAUCAGUCGGUUAACUUUGCUGAUUUGGAUGGACUCGCCAGUGUGCUGUCUGGGCUUCUGGGCCCCAGAAGUUUCGCUGUGCCCUCCUCUCUUCUCUACACAGUCCACCCCUCCAUGCGGGGGGCUGCCAAAUUAGGGCUGACCUCCCAGGCUACUUGAGAAGGUCGGUCGGAGUCCCAGCUUCUCCUGGGUCCCGCCCUUUUUCUCUGACCCCUGUCUGAGAGGGGCUUUCGCUGGAUGCUGAGGGAAGUUCUAACCAUGCAGACCCUCUGCAUCCAGAUGACAGAUGGCUCAGUUGGGUUUCUGAUUCUUCCUUAAUUUAGCGGGGUGGUUGGAGAGGGUGGUGAUGCAAGAGGUACAUGGAGGUGUGCCUGCUCAGUUGCUUCAGUCGUGUUGGACUCUUUGUGACCCCAUGGACUGUAGCCCACUGGGCUCUUCUGUCCAUGAGAUUUUCCUGGCAAGGUUACCGGAGUAGGUUGCCACGCCCCACUCCAGAGGAUCUUCCUGACCCAGGGAUCAAACCCGCGUCUCCACUGGGGAAGCCCCAGGAGCAGGAGUAGGGGCCGUGAGAAGAUGGUGUGAGCGUGGAUGUGUAGUUACUCUCAGCGCUCCAGCCCAGCGUUUCUCAGCCUGGGCCCCUGUGGACAUUUUGGGCUGGAUAGUGCUUUGGGUGUGGUGGGCUGUGUUGGGCAUGUUGUGAGAUGCUUCACAGCAUCCUUGUCUGCUGCCCACUGGACGCCAGGGGCACCCCUUCCCCAGUUGUGACACCUAAGAAUGUCUCCAGGAGACCCUGUCGGAUGUCUCCUGGGGGACACACCUCUGGUUGAGAAUCAGUGGUCGGUGGGGGAGGGACAAGAGAGGUUUGUAUGUGUUGCGAGGGUCUGUGGACCUGCACUGUGAAAUAUUCAUGGAAUUCAAGAGCAGAAAGGCGCUCAGGGAAGUCCCUUGGGCCGGGCCGUGACCCAGGCAGCCCUUUCCGUGGUCAAGCGAAAGGGCAGAGAGAAGGCUGCCUCCCCAGGCUGGCCUCUCUGUGGAGCUUUUAUGGAGAACUUUUGCAAAGGGACUUUGUACUCGGUUCUCCGUUCUCCCGUGUUUCAGGAGUUUGGUUACAAGCUCGAAGUUUGAUCUGCCCUCUUGUCCUCUGUACACACACAUUCCUCACUCAGGAGAGGGCCCCUCUGUGUGUACAAAAUGGGACUUUUACUUGAAUUCAUUAAAAAAAAAAAAGUUUUGCCUGCCAGGACUCUGCUGUCCUCUCUUCUCCCCUUUUAUUCUUCUCUGUUGCCUGUAAGAUGAGCCCUGAAGUGGGUGUCUGGUGAGAUGGGUUAGCCUGGGAUUUUCCUAGGCCCAGAUUAAAGGCAAAUUAUCAAAUGGAAGUUGAAAGUUGCUGCUGUGCUUGUAAAAAAGUCAGUUGUGUGCCAUAAAAUCCAUCACAGCUCCCUUGGUGAGAAGGAGGCGGCUGCGAGGUAUUUAGUGAUGUUAGUUUAGCUUCCAAGGGCUUGGCUGCCAUGCUGGAGGAAGGAGCCUGUCGGCACCGGGUACCACGGUGGUUUCUAGCGUUUGGUCAGCGAGGGAGAGAGAAGCUUGCUGCGUCUGAGCCGUGGGAAGCUCAGAGACGAGACCUGGGUGUUGCCAGCAGGUUGCCAAGCAGUGGCUUUAGAUCUUGGAUUUGGGGGAACCGGACGGCUUUAUGGGCUGCCUGUGGGGCGCGUGAUGUCGCAGUGACUUUUGCCUCCUUUUUAUUUAGAACAGAAGGCGCCUGUCCAGUGGGUGCGGGGGUCUGCGGAUCUGGGCUGGGAGAGGCAGUGUAGCCUGCUGGGUGAAAGUGCAGGUUCGGGGACCAGACCACUUGGCCAGGUCUCCAUGGCUGCUCAUGGGCUCUCUCUAGUUGCGGUGGCUGGGGGCUUCUCAUGGUGGUGGCCCCCCUUGCGCAGAGCACGGGCCUGAGGGCUUGGUGGUUGCAGCUCGCUGGCCUGGCUGCCCUGAGGCGUGUGGGCUGCCCCUGGCGCAGGGGUUAAAUCCGUGUCUCCUGCAUUGGCAGGUGGAGUCCUAGCUGCUGGACCACCAGGGAAGCCUGUUGCUCUUUCUUAACGGCAACGUUUUUGAAGGCAUGAGGAUCCCCAAGGUUACCACCAGCACCUGUCUUCAGCUCGGCUUGCCUGGAAGCAGUUCUGCCCGCCCCAGGUUGCCUAAAUUUCGGUGCUGGGUGGGCAUGGUGGGUGUAGAUGGCUGCAAGCCUGUCCUCUUUGCCCCUGGAUCUGUUGAGUCCUCCUGCCUGCACUGUGAGCUUCCCAGGUAGCUCAGUGGUAAAGAAUUAGCUCAGUGGUAAAGAAUCCGCCUGCCAAGGCAGGAGACUCAGGUUUGAUCCCUGGGUCGGGAAAGAUUCCCCUGGAGGAGGAAGUGGCAACCCACUCCAGUAUCCUUGCCUGGAGAAUCCCAUGGCAGAGGAGCCUGGUGGGCUGCAGUGCAUGGGGUGCCAAAGAGUUGGACACGACUGAGCGACUAAGUGUGCACGCCUGCAUUGUCCCAAGGUUGGGCCAGCACUGGUGGCGGUGAGGUCUCAGGGAAACCAUCUGCUCUGGCCUUCAACGUGUCCCUGCUUUUGGCUAAGCCGGCACCCCAUGCCUGGUUCUCACUUUGCCUGCAGGAGCUGUGGGCCUGUUUCAAUGGGUAACUGGUAUAUGUGUGUGCACACGUGCAACAGAAAACAUCAAAAUGUUUGGGGAGUGUUUAGGGAAAAUAGCAAGCAGCAGAUUGCCAAGAUUCUCUUGUAUGUUUCUUUUCCUUGCCUUUUUGCUGUGUACAUGUGUGAUCGGGAUCUUGGAGCAUUCUGCAAUACAGCUCUGCCUUUUCUUAUCCCAACUGUUCUUUCUUACGGUGGAGAGGAUACAAUUCAGCACCAAUAAUACUGAGCAAUAAAUAACCUGGAGAAGAUGAA
Molecule: RNA transcript, 6268 nt
Organism: Bubalus bubalis (water buffalo)
Lineage: Eukaryota; Metazoa; Chordata; Mammalia; Artiodactyla; Bovidae
Gene: MSI2
Gene name: musashi RNA binding protein 2
Exons: 7
Source: RefSeq, a predicted model, not a curated record